GCGGAACUGGCGGAAUUGGUAGACGCGCUAGGUUCAGGUCCUAGUGUUAGCAAUAAUGUCCGGGUUCAAGUCCCGGGUUCCGCA
Phormidium tenue NIES-30 is the source of this 84-nucleotide transfer RNA. It matches the Rfam family "tRNA". Rfam says of the family: Transfer RNA (tRNA) molecules are approximately 80 nucleotides in length. NCBI's taxonomy places the organism in Bacteria, Bacillati, Cyanobacteriota, Cyanophyceae, Oscillatoriales, Oscillatoriaceae. The record is from Rfam.